GCUCCCACAUUGUUAUACAUUUCUGGGAUAGAGAAAUAAAAAAGGCAGUAAAAAAGUUAUAACAAGUUUGCUUCUAGAAGAAGUACCAAUUAGCAAGCCAGGGUAAGCAACUAGCAUACCAAAACUUAUGCAAUGGACAAAUUUUAAGCAAUAUAUAAGGUUUAGGGUCAACAUUUAAAAGAGGGAGACUGGUUAAAAAGAGUUGAAGUUAGAGUCCAGUAAAAUGAGGAAAAAGAGGAAUCAAAGACUAUUAGUGAAGCUGUAAAAAAGUACUUGAGGUACUGUAGCAGACUGGCACCGGUGGAAAAUAAAGAGGAGAAAAGAUAGCAAAGAGGGAAGAUAAAACAAACCUUACAAACCAAAUCAAAAUGUUCAAAAUUUCUUAUCAAAAACCAACAAAAAUAACUAAGUUACGUGUGUAUCUGUAAAGACUUAAUAACUGCUUCUAAUCCUAAUGAGGUUAGUAAUCACAAAGCAGGAAAAAUAUAAAGCAAUAUUAAAUGGGCAGCAAACUUUCCUAUUUCACAAGAAACGUGAUUUUUAUAAUUAAGAAUUUAAUCACCAUAAAAUCUAAAUGUAGUUUUCCUUGGUUGCAGUAAUAACCCUACUUGCUAAAGUUUCCAUAUCAUUUAUAUACUCUCUUUUCCAAUGACAAAAUAUAAGAGGCACUUUCAUGUUUAUCUUCGACAUAUCAAAAUCUAAACACUAAGUCUUCUCCUUCAAGACUACAACACUGUUUCUCAUACAUCAUGACCAAGUACCAACAAUAUAAGCAAUACUCCAUCUCUCCAUGCAUGCAAAGCAGUUUCCCCAAAUUUCAAGGAUUCAAUCCUACAACCAAUACCACUGCUUAACUUAUGAGACCAUUGAAAUCUCUAUCCAAACUACCGCGAUUGCACGCAUCCAAUUAUGCAUAAAAGAACCGCAAAACAAGCAAGCAUUGCAGUAAGCUUGGUGUUUUCUAAGUACAACUUGCAAGACAUAUAGCCUCACCUGCAUCUACUACCAAGAUCAUCACGCAACCAAUAAUUCUAAAAGUAAUCAUUUCUUUUGUUUCAACUAAUAAAUAAGAAAAAUUCAACCUUUAAAAACUUCUUUCGUUUAUAAAAAGCCACCAAAAAGACACAUUCCGAUUCACAAUUGAUAAUAUCCUAUUUGCCUAAUAAAAGAAGCCCAUAUUCCAAACCCACAAAAAUCUGUCUAAGAAAGUUGCACAGCUACACUAACAGUAAAACCCAACCCACAAUUUGCGUUUAAGAAUCCAUCUUGUAAUUUCACAGCUUGUUUAAAGAAAAAAAAAAAAUUAAAGAACCCAUAUUAUUCUAAACUUUGAACGCCCCAAAAGAAAGAAGAAGAAGAAAUAGAUAACAAUACCCUUUUGCCCAUUAAUUAAAUACUUAACAUCUUUAGGCAUAUAUGCGGAAAGGAUCAGAAAUUGAAGAAAACUAAAGAAUUCAAGGAAGCCAUCAUUUCAAAUCUACACUACUUCCCUACCAAUCUACCACAAAUCCAAAUCCACAUCGAGUUAACACUAAAAUCAUACAUAUUCGUACAUUUCAAUCCAUUUAAUCUAUAUGUUAAUAUGCAUCCUGCAUAUGCACUCAUGCAAAUAA
This 1613-nucleotide unclassified non-coding RNA is filed under the name Hevea brasiliensis (rubber tree). The record is from RNAcentral. Lineage: Eukaryota; Viridiplantae; Streptophyta; Magnoliopsida; Malpighiales; Euphorbiaceae.